Mustela erminea (ermine) is the source of this 1031-nucleotide long non-coding RNA. RefSeq lists it as uncharacterized. The record is from RefSeq and is a predicted model, not a curated record. Lineage: Eukaryota; Metazoa; Chordata; Mammalia; Carnivora; Mustelidae. The transcript has 2 exons.
GGAAGUCGCGGUGCUCGCGCUCUCCUUGCUCUUUCUUGCUCUCCUUCCCCGCCCCCCAGCUCAGCGCCGCGGGAGCAAAAUGAGCCCGAGCCCAAGGCCAGGGCCCACGUCCUCCAACGCAAAGGAUGCCCGCGUCACUCCGGUUCCCGAAAGCGAAGCAGGAGUCAGCCUGCGAAUUUCCACUAAAAGUGCGCGCGAGGGGAAAGCUCCAGCGCGAGGGGAAUUGGCCGCGGAGGAAUAAGAAUCUUGCGACGGAUGCCCCAUGGCGGGGCUUUGGAGGGCGGGCGGCGCGUAGCCCUCGCAGCAAUAAUAUACCACGUCACAUGGUGCCAGGCACCGCUGGGAUUCGAACCCAGGAUCUCCUGUUUACUAGACAGGCGCUUUAACCAGCUAAGCCACGGCGCCGGCGGGAGGUGCUUUCAGUCUGAAGGUAGAUCAGCCACUCCAGGGAGUAGGUCCCGAGCCGGUGGCUUAACGCUCCGCCCCUCCCGUCUCCCACAUCUCAGGGGCCCGACUCGACCGUGGAUGGGUACGUGACCUCAAGUCCUGCCGCCCCCUCGGACUGGCCUUCUCUUGCGUGGUGACAGGUGACCGAGCAGCUAAGCACCCUCACCUGCUUCAGGGCCCCCACAGGCUGGGCGGGCGCACCAGCCGCCACCCCCUUCCCUCGACACACCCAGCUGAUGCAAGGUGACGAGGGGUGCAGGGUCACAGUUAGCUGGACAUCUUCCGGGCUCAGCAAGGCCCCUCCGCUGGACAGGGUGUGCGGAGCAGAGAGCUGGGGGGCGCAAGGGGAGGGGUCACUCACGCUCACUACAGCCUCCCUGGCAGGGGGGCCACACCUCCCCACAAUGAGCUCGCUGCUCCCAACCCCCACAUUUCAUUCCACAAAGUCCUGUUUUCUUUUUCCUCUUUGUAUUAAAAAAUAACAACAGACACAAUAUCAAAAACACAAAUGCCAUCGGUAGAGGGUACAGCUGAGAACACCUGGGUCCCACCUGAGGGGCAGCACCAGGGACUCCAUGGUCCAC